GCUGGGCGCGCUGGUGCACACCUGUAAUCCCAGCAGCUCAGGAGGCUGAGGCAGGAGGAUUGAGAAGUCAAAGCCAGCCUCAGCAAAAGUGAGGUGCUAAACAACUUAGUGAGACUCUGUCUCUA
This 125-nucleotide small RNA is filed under the name Marmota monax (woodchuck). Lineage: Eukaryota; Metazoa; Chordata; Mammalia; Rodentia; Sciuridae. The record is from RNAcentral.